RNAcentral lists this ribosomal RNA (254 nucleotides) under uncultured bacterium. RNAcentral's name for it is "partial 16S ribosomal RNA". It matches the Rfam family "Bacterial small subunit ribosomal RNA", at positions 524 to 776 of the family's 1533-position model. The record is from RNAcentral.
UACGGAGGGAGCGAGCGUUGUCCGAAGUUACUGGGCGUAAAGCGCGCGUAGGCGGGGAAUUAAGUGAGAAGUGAAAGGCUGGGGCUCAACCCCAUGCAGUGCUUCUCAUACUGGUUCUCUUGAGGGUGGUAGAGAGAAGUGGAAUGGCUGGUGUAGCGGUGAAAUGCUUAGAUAUGACAUAGAACACCAAUUGCGAAGGCAGCUGGCUACACGAAUAUUGACACUGAUGCACGAAAGCGUGGGGAUCAAACAGG